Molecule: ribosomal RNA, 440 nt
Filed under: uncultured bacterium
Lineage: Bacteria
Description: partial 16S ribosomal RNA
Rfam family: Bacterial small subunit ribosomal RNA
Source: RNAcentral
CCUACGGGUGGCAGCAGUGGGGAAUAUUGCACAAUGGGGGAAACCCUGAUGCAGCAACGCCGCGUGAGUGAAGACGUAUUUCGGUAUGUAAAGCUCUAUCAGCAGGGAAGAAGAUGACGGUACCUGAUUAAGAAGCCCCGGCUCACUACGUGCCAGCAGCCCCGGUCAAAGGUCGGGGGCAAGCGUGGUCCGGAUUUACGGGGUGUAAAGGGGGCGGAGUCGGUAGCGCAAGUCUGGAGGUAAAGCCAGGGGGCCAACCCCGGAACUGCUCUGGAAACUGUGCGGCUAGAGUACUGGAGGGGCAGGCGGAAUACCUAGGGUAGCGGUGAAAUGCGUAGAUAUUAGGAGGAACACCAGUGGCGAAGGCGGCCUGCUGGACAGUAACUGACGCUGAGGCUCGAAAGCGUGGGUAGCAAACAGGAUUAGAUACCCGUGUAGUC